Molecule: ribosomal RNA, 253 nt
Filed under: uncultured bacterium
Lineage: Bacteria
Description: partial 16S ribosomal RNA
Rfam family: Bacterial small subunit ribosomal RNA
Source: RNAcentral
UACGUAGGGACCAAGCGUUGUCCGGAAUUAUUGGGCGUAAAGGGUGCGUAGGCGGUUCCGCAAGUCCUGUGUGAAAUCUUCGGGCUCAACUCGAAGUCUGCACGGGAAACUGCGGGGCUUGAGUGUGGGAGAGGUGAGUGGAAUUCCCGGUGUAGCGGUGAAAUGCGUAGAUAUCGGGAGGAGCACCUGUGGCGAAAGCGGCUCACUGGACCAUAACUGACGCUGAUGCACGAAAGCUGGGGGAGCAAACAGG